This 612-nucleotide ribosomal RNA is filed under the name Lysinibacillus sphaericus. RNAcentral describes it as "bacterial SSU rRNA". It matches the Rfam family "Bacterial small subunit ribosomal RNA", at positions 49 to 683 of the family's 1533-position model. The record is from RNAcentral. Lineage: Bacteria; Bacillati; Bacillota; Bacilli; Caryophanales; Bacillaceae.
GAGUGUGCAGUCGAGCGAACAGAUAAGGAGUUGCUUCUUGACGUUAGCGGCGGACGGUGAUGAACACGUGGCACCUACCUUAUAGUGCUGGGAUAACUCUGGAAACCCGGGGCUAAUACCCGAAUAAUCUGUUCACCUCAUGGUGAAAUAUUGAAAGACGUUCUACGUGCGCUUGAUGGGCCCACUCGCAUUAUCUACUCUGGUGAGGUAACCAGCUCACCAAGGCGACGAUCGGUAGCCGCCUGAGACGGUGAUCGUCACACUUGGACUAUACACGGACCAGACUCCUCCUGAGGCAUGGAGGGAAUCUUCCCAAUGGGGCGAAACCUAUAUGAGCACUGACAUCUGAGGAAGGAAUGAUUUCCGGACUAAACCUAUGUUGUAACGGGAACGAACUGGCCAGUACCAUCUUGCUUGUCCUUGACGGGCCCUUAUUUGGAAGCCACUGCUUAUUACGUGGCAAACGGGCUGGAAAUACCCUGGGGGAAGGUUGUCCCGGAUAAUUUAGGCAAAGCGCCCCCCCGUGGGUGGUUACCCUUAAAUGAUUGCACUGGUUAAUCGGGAACGGCUUCGAAAACCUGGGGGAUUUUGGUAAUUUGGUUCUUUAGGGUU